This 481-nucleotide long non-coding RNA is filed under the name Androctonus crassicauda. The record is from RNAcentral. Lineage: Eukaryota; Metazoa; Arthropoda; Arachnida; Scorpiones; Buthidae.
GUCACUUUCGUCAGUUAUACUUUUUCUGAAUUCAACAUGAAGGUCUUGAUUGUUAUUUCUAUUAUAAUAAUGAUAACUUCAGUUAUCUUGGCUAAUGACAUCAAAAAUCUUCAAAUUAAAGAAGAUGGAAAAUCUCUUGGUUCACAAACAAGAGGUAGAAUUGACCAGAAUCGCAAUAAACAAGGAACUGUAUUUGGACAUGGAAAAAUAAAUUCCAAAAUCUCACAGCCUGAACGUCUAGGAAAUAAAGAGAAGGAAGGUAAUCAGCAAGAAAAGAAAGACGGAUCUAUCAGUACUGUGAUACCACAAGUCCGUUUUGGUAGUGGAUUUGCUGGCUAAGUAUUUAGAAAAAUAAAAUGUUAAUUUUUAUUUCUUAAAAACGUUUAAAUUCAGCAUAAUUGUGAAUAUUCUACUUUAUCGAUGAACUAUAUGCUUAUAUUUUCCUUAAAAAGGAACAGUGUAAUAUAAAUUUAGUAUUUCA